Long non-coding RNA from Carcharodon carcharias (great white shark), 524 nucleotides. RefSeq lists it as uncharacterized. NCBI's taxonomy places the organism in Eukaryota, Metazoa, Chordata, Chondrichthyes, Lamniformes, Lamnidae. The record is from RefSeq and is a predicted model, not a curated record. The transcript has 2 exons.
CGGAGCUGCGCCGGCGUCAGAAAGGGGGCGGGGGGUCCUUGGACAUUGCAGAAUUUAAUUCAAAAGAGGACGUUCUUCUUGAAGAUGCACCAUCAUAGAUUCUGCCCACACAAGCACCAGCAAAAGAAUUGGCAUUCCAGAUGAAUUAGAGAGUGGUGCACAUGGAGGAUCAUCUAGCGUGUUGGCAAAACUAGGUAGUGGUGAUCGGAAUAGCCCAAGAGAUGGCUUGCCAGAGAAUGAGGUUGUCAUCUAGCUCUCUUGAGCUGGAUGGAAUACGGACAUCAUGGAUACAGCCUUGAAAGGAACACUGCUUGAGGCACAAAAGCAAUUUUACAAGGUAGUGGGGGGCUUGCCAUAGAGAUGCCACAUCAUGCUCGAAGAAUGAGAGAAUCCAAUUCCAGUUAGUUUGCUGUCACCUUGCAAGGCAUCGGCAGGUUGCAGUCUACCAGGGAGCUUGUGGCCACUUCCAAGAAUACUGUAGUUGAGUCCUUACAAUAAAAGUUUGUGUUACUUUUCUGCUUUAA